Molecule: long non-coding RNA, 415 nt
Filed under: Capsicum annuum
Lineage: Eukaryota; Viridiplantae; Streptophyta; Magnoliopsida; Solanales; Solanaceae
Description: long non-coding RNA (CANN_LNC017072)
Source: RNAcentral
UUAGUGUUAUUAAAUUUAUUCUCCAAUAUCUACAGCCGAGUUUCGUUCUUCUUGUUGAAUAACUAAUCGAGGGUCCUCCAUAUUUCGUGGGCUUAUUUGCACCUUAUAAUAUGAUCAAAUAAACUGGAGGAGAUGGAUCUCUUCAAGAUGAACUCCGCCUUCACAUUAGUCUGCUUUCAGUUCUUAUAUACAGCAUUAUUUUCUGGUUCGUCGAUGGGAGGACUUGUGUUACUUCUGUUGAUAAUAUCCUAUAAGUCCUCACCCAUAAGGUAUGCUUCCAUACCUUAUAAUUGGACUGAUUUAACAACUCCAUGCCCAGUUCAUUACCACAACCGCUAAAAUCCAUAGAGAGAAACAAGUUGAAUCUAUCACUAACCUGAUCUUAAAAUAAAAUUUAGAAUCCAAUGUGUGGUUG